This 253-nucleotide ribosomal RNA is filed under the name uncultured bacterium. RNAcentral's name for it is "partial 16S ribosomal RNA". It matches the Rfam family "Bacterial small subunit ribosomal RNA", at positions 524 to 776 of the family's 1533-position model. The record is from RNAcentral.
UACGUAGGGGGCAAGCGUUGUCCGGAAUCAUUGGGCGUAAAGAGCGCGUAGGCGGUCCGGUAAGUCCGCUCUGAAAGUCCGGGGCUCAACCCCGGGAGGCGGGCGGAUACUGUCGGGCUAGAGUCCGGAAGAGGCGAGUGGAAUUCCUGGUGUAGCGGUGAAAUGCGCAGAUAUCAGGAGGAACACCAAUGGCGAAGGCAGCGCGCUGGGACGGUACUGACGCUGAGGCGCGAAAGCGUGGGGAGCAAACAGG